UACGAAGGGUGCAAGCGUUACUCGGAAUUACUGGGCGUAAAGGGUGCGUAGGUGGUCGUUUAAGUCCGUUGUGAAAAUCCCUGGGCUCAACCUGGGAAUGGCAGUGGAUACUGGACGGCUAGAAUGCGGUAGAGGGUAGUGGAAUUCCCGGUGUAGCAGUGAAAUGCGUAGAGAUCGGGAGGAACACCAGUGGCGAAGGCGGCUCACUGGACCAUUACUGACGCUGAGGCACGAAAGCUAGGGGAGCAAACAGG
Molecule: ribosomal RNA, 254 nt
Filed under: uncultured bacterium
Lineage: Bacteria
Description: partial 16S ribosomal RNA
Rfam family: Bacterial small subunit ribosomal RNA
Source: RNAcentral